RNAcentral lists this transfer RNA (68 nucleotides) under Marmota monax (woodchuck). RNAcentral's name for it is "tRNA.Ala". The record is from RNAcentral. Lineage: Eukaryota; Metazoa; Chordata; Mammalia; Rodentia; Sciuridae.
GGAUUGUGGCUCAGCAGUAGCGCGCUCGUCUAGCAUGUGUGAGGCCCUGGGUUUGAUCCUCAGCACCA